GACGAACGCUGGCGGCGUGCCUAAUACAUGCAAGUAGAACGCACAGUUUAUACCGUAGCUUGCUACACCAUAAACUGUGAGUUGCGAACGGGUGAGUAACGCGUAGGUAACCUGCCUGGUAGCGGGGGAUAACUAUUGGAAACGAUAGCUAAUACCGCAUAAUAUUGACUAUUGCAUGAUAAUUGAUUGAAAGAUGCUAUUGCAUCACUACCAGAUGGACCUGCGUUGUAUUAGCUAGUAGGUGAGGUAACGGCUCACCUAGGCGACGAUACAUAGCCGACCUGGGAGGGUGAUCGGCCACACUGGGACUGAGACACGGCCCAGACUCCUACGGGAGGCAGCAGUAGGGAAUCUUCGGCAAUGGACGAAAGUCUGACCGAGCAACGCCGCGUGAGUGAAGAAGGUUUUCGGAUCGUAAAGCUCUGUUGUAAGAGAAGAACGGGUGUGAGAGUGGAAAGUUCACACUGUGACGGUAUCUUACCAGAAAGGGACGGCUAACUACGUG
RNAcentral lists this ribosomal RNA (505 nucleotides) under uncultured bacterium. RNAcentral's name for it is "partial 16S ribosomal RNA". It matches the Rfam family "Bacterial small subunit ribosomal RNA", at positions 28 to 507 of the family's 1533-position model. The record is from RNAcentral.